UGAGCCACCCGGAAGUCGCACCGGAAGCUUCAGGGAUGCAGCUGACAAUUACCUAUGCGCCAGGACUUGAAGGACACAACAACGAAACCAAACGAAACCAAACGAAAUGAAACUGAUACUUCUCUAUCACACGUGAGGACCUGGGGCUCUCAAACCUGCUAAGAUUCUGCCAAUAGCAGAGCCAGGGACUGAAGACAUACUGUACAUGGUACUAAGCAUCCCCAUGAGUACCAGAUUCUAGACGUUGCUCCUCAAGAGACUAAGGGAUGCUGAGCAGAGAGAACCUACAGGCAAAGACCAGGCUGCCCCGACAACUCAACAGACUCAGAAGCGCUGUAUUUUAAAGCAUAGGGGAAAGCGAUUCCUAAAAUAUUCGGAUGUUCUCAACUUUGGUUGGAGAGGCUUCUUCGUUGUGGUUGGAAGCAGUCAACGGAGAGAUGUAUAAGUGCUCAAAGUGCUGAGAAAGACAGAGAGACUUCUUAGGACAUAGGACAAUAUUGACCACCCAACCACCAAGGCCCAGGAACAUGACGGAAGAGGGAGUGGCAUGGAGAAGAGUCCUGUGAAAUGCUGGCUUCUGGAAGUGACAUGGCUAUCACAAUCAUGACCUCUCAGUAGCUGAGGUUACCUGCAUAAGAUCUACCCCAGAUCAAGCCAACAAAAAUCCCCACAUGGUAGGUAGAUGAUCUCCAAGCCCACCCUAUACUCAGGAGCUAUUGGAAAUAGAUUUGCCAAAGACAGGAGGAAUUUUUUUCUUAAGAAUGUGGUCAGUGGUGGUUUCCCAUGCUCCAGUGGCCCAUAUACCCAUGCAUAUAUGGGUAGCACUGACUAGAGGAGGCAUAUUGGGGAGGACAUAAAGGGGGGAAAUGGGAAGUAGACAUGAUCAUCUUUCAUUGUGUUCAUGUAUGAAACUCUCAAAAAUAAAGACUAAAAACAGAAAUUAGU
This 945-nucleotide small RNA is filed under the name Rattus norvegicus (Norway rat). RNAcentral describes it as "uncharacterized LOC108352566". The record is from RNAcentral. Lineage: Eukaryota; Metazoa; Chordata; Mammalia; Rodentia; Muridae.